This 203-nucleotide microRNA precursor is filed under the name Oryza barthii. RNAcentral describes it as "MIR812 microRNA precursor family". It matches the Rfam family "MIR812 microRNA precursor family". Lineage: Eukaryota; Viridiplantae; Streptophyta; Magnoliopsida; Poales; Poaceae. The record is from Rfam by way of RNAcentral.
AAAAAGACAAACUCUGUUUUCCGUAUCCAACAUUUGACCGUCCGUCGUAUUUAAAAAAAUAUAAAAAAAAUUAAAAUGAUAAGUCACGCAUAAAGUAUUAAUCAUGUUUUAUCAUCUAACAACAAUAAAAAUACUAAUUAUAAAAAAAAUUAUAUAAGACGGACAGUCAAACGUUGCCACGGAAACCCAAUGUUUGUUUUUUU